AACGCACAUUGCGCCCGCCAGUACUCUGGCGGGCAUGCCUGUUCGAGCGUCAUUUCAACCCCUCAAGCCCUGGGCUUGGUGUUGGGGAUCGACCUGGCCCCCCGCUCCGGCGGGGGGCGCGUCGGCCCUGAAAUUCAGUGGCGGUCCCGCCGCGGCCCCCUUUGCGCAGUAGCAAUACCUCGCACUGGAGAGCGGCGCGCCCACGCCCAACCCCCCCCUAUACCUUCAUAGGUUGACCUCGAAUCAGGUAGGAAUACCCGCUGAACUUAA
RNAcentral lists this unclassified non-coding RNA (270 nucleotides) under uncultured fungus. RNAcentral's name for it is "partial contains 5.8S ribosomal RNA, internal transcribed spacer 2, and large subunit ribosomal RNA". The stretch from base 1 to 52 matches the Rfam family "5.8S ribosomal RNA", at positions 103 to 154 of the family's 154-position model. The record is from RNAcentral. Lineage: Eukaryota; Fungi.